UACCCUUGACAUCCUGCGAAUCUGGCUGAGAGGCUGGAGUGCCGAAAGGAACGCAGAGAC
RNAcentral lists this ribosomal RNA (60 nucleotides) under uncultured organism. RNAcentral describes it as "partial 16S ribosomal RNA". The record is from RNAcentral.